GGAUUAAACUACUGAGUUUAGGUCUUCAUUUUUAAAUCUCAGAUAUAGUUUCAAAAAGGAAAUUCAAUAUAAAGAUAUCUGACUAACUUAUACUUUACUGUCCAAAAUGUUUAGUAAAGAGACAUUUGAUGUUUAAGGAAUUCUUGUGAUCCUUUCUUUAAAACAAGCUUUGGUUAACUAUAUUUCUUUGAGGUAGAAGGUACUAUGUUGCCAAACAAAAUCAGAAUUCAAAUGCUGGCUUUGUUCAAGUAGUCUAUAAAGCUGUAAUACUGCGUUCUGUUCCUACAAUUAUUUUUCUUUAAAAGAUACCUGCCCUUAUGACUAAGUGGCUGUAACAUCCUAUUAGGUCUAAUAAAAUAUUAACUAGCAAAAUAAUUCUCUGUAAUUAAAUGUUGCAAUAUAUUUUAUCCCUAGAUAAAUGAGUACAUCCAGAAAACAUGCUUUAGCUUUUUAAAAACCAUUUUUAAUUUGAAGUGAGGUAUUUUGUUAAUCAAUUUACUUACAUUUGAGGGUGUAAUUUGUCUUUAUUCUAAUAAACCUGUGUUUUGUUGUGUGCUUUUACUUUGGAAAUCUUUAUAUCACUUAAGAAAUCAGAGUAUUUUUGAGCUGCCUGAUUUAAAGAUAUUUACUUUGUUUUGUUGCAUACACAACACAGAAACUAGGAUUCCAGAUACGCAGCCACGAGCUAAGUCCCUGUAGUAUGCAACUUUCUCUAAUGACCUAUGUAGACACUAAGUUAAAGUUACUUUCAUUGCCUAAACUUGGAAUAUCUUUUGAUUUCUGAGGUAUAAUGCAAGAAAUUAAUAUGUCAAAAUAUUCACUAAUUCACAUUACCUUGUCUAGAAUCUAUUCUAGACAAUGAGCUAAGUCCUGAUGGGGCAAGUACUGGCCACUUAAAAGGAAACACAAAGUAAAUGAGACCCUUUUUUUCACAUGUGCAUAACCAUUCUACUCCUCAGAAUUUAUAAUUUACAAAUGUUAUGAUUUAUUAGAUGCUAUUCUAGAUUUCAGGUUAAUUAGUACUGAUGUUUUCUGUCUCCAGUCGAGUUGAAUUUGGAGCCCAGACAGUGGUAGUCUUUUGAGGGAAAAGAGAGAAGAAAUGAUAGACAACAGAUUCUUAUUCUCUUAAAAUUACUAAGAACUCUGCUCCAUAUGGCUCGAUAUGGGUAUGAAGAUGUCAUCAUUGUUAUCAACCACUUAGAUCCAUACUUUUGCUGCUGACCAAAAUCAAAGGAGAUCAUUUAUUUUGGCAAAAAGGAAGAAGGGUUUAUACAAAACCAGAUCCCAGGAAAUGGAGAGGACUCAUCACCUAACUCACCAUCUCAACAUAUAGAGCUCUUUGCUUCUUUCUCUGCUUCCUGGCCAUCAUGAUGUGAGCAGCUUCACCUUCACUAUGCCUCUCUGCCCUGCCAUUCUGCCAUAGACCCAGCUAACCAAGGACUACAAAUAUGAACCAAAAUAAAUCUUUCAUCAUUUAAGUCAUGGAUGUUAAUUAAUCCUUGACCUGGAGACCAGUCAGUGCCUUUGCAUAACCUCAGAUAAUAAUCGAACCCUUCUUGCAGAGAUAUGUAUUGAAUUGACUCUUCUGGAAACCUCCAUAACUUGCACUUCCCUGACCCCAGAGGAAUUUGGAUGAAUCAUGGUGCUUUCUGUCCUAUUUGAUAGUAUCAAUUUAUGCAACUGCUGUUAACUCUGAACCAUCUUAUGUUAACAUGGAACCUCAAGCUGCACAGGAGAUACAUAUCUAUCCUUGUCAUAGCCCUCAGGCUGCAGUGUACAGGUGGUUUUGUCAUCAAACCCCAGGCAAGUUUGAAAGAAACUAAAUCUUCUCUGUGUCAUUGUUAUUCUACAGACCUCAAGCCAUACCCAUGUCUUCUCCAUUCCUGUGAUUACCAUGAGAAAGCCCUGCUAAGUACAGCAGACCUAUGAAUGCUUUCAGUUAAAUGAGUGAAGUGUCAUAAUAAAUACUUUUUUGAGUAUGGCUAUUGGUGCAUACAGAAUAUUGUACUUGUAUUUCAGCAUUUGUGUAUUUCACAACAUCUUGUAGCAUUUUGUCUGUUACAAACAAUUUCCAACAUUGAAUGACAGUGCUGGAAUUCUGUCCAAUAUGUUUCACCCCUGCCAAGAUCCUCACUACAUUUUUGGACCUGGUUCUAACAUUGACUCAUUCCAUUUUGAUUGCAUGAGCAUUUUGUACCAUUUUGACUAGUCAAAUAUACAGUCAUAUAGUUGUUUUCUUUGUCAUCUGAAUCAAGGAGGUCUACAUUAUCUGUGUCUGGACACGUCCAUUUUUGCUCCAUUUCACUGUCACAGGAACUUUGGCUCAGAUGGCCAAUGUCAAAGUCAUUACGGUCUUCAUCAUCCAUGCAUGAAUAAUCUGAUGAUUCACUUCAGACCUUCUCCAAAACUUGCAAAUAUGGUUUUUUAAGUGCCAUUGUACCGAAUUGGGCUACUUCUACCAAAAUAAACAAACAAACAAACAAACAAACAAAUAAAUAAAUAUUUUUAAAACAAAUCCUAAAUGCACAGAAAUUUAGCAAUUAAUAUUUCAUUGGUAAGACUCAGCUGCUACUGCUUUGGAGCUCCUG
Molecule: long non-coding RNA, 2588 nt
Filed under: Heterocephalus glaber (naked mole-rat)
Lineage: Eukaryota; Metazoa; Chordata; Mammalia; Rodentia; Bathyergidae
Description: lncRNA (ENSHGLG00100045452.1)
Source: RNAcentral